UUUUCAGAUUGGAAUCUUCUGUAGUAUUGAGAGUGGAUUUUUUUACAAUGGACCAGACCUCAUGACAAAUGUACAGCUGAUGUCAAUAACAAAUAUUCUCUUUGUGCUUCUAUUUUAUCCAAAAGUAUUUGAUGGCUAUGGUUGAAAAGGACAGUUAGCACACAAAAGAAUCUUCAGAUAUUGUCAGAAAGCAUAAGAUGUUGGGAUGAAGUGUACAUUUAAGAGAAUUAAAUAAAAUUCAUGUCUUCA
Long non-coding RNA from Ruditapes philippinarum (Manila clam), 249 nucleotides. RefSeq lists it as uncharacterized. The transcript has 2 exons. NCBI's taxonomy places the organism in Eukaryota, Metazoa, Mollusca, Bivalvia, Venerida, Veneridae. The record is from RefSeq and is a predicted model, not a curated record.